Molecule: long non-coding RNA, 404 nt
Filed under: Numida meleagris (helmeted guineafowl)
Lineage: Eukaryota; Metazoa; Chordata; Aves; Galliformes; Numididae
Description: lncRNA (ENSNMEG00000013948.1)
Source: RNAcentral
GUCCGCCAUUUCACCCGCGGCCAGCGCGCCGCAGCGCCGCCAUUUUGAGUGCGGGCGCCGCCCUGCGGCUGCCGCUCCCCACCGCCGCCCCGUGCCGCCCGCACCCGGCCCUGCGGUGGUCGACCUCCUCGGCUGUGCCUCGCGGGCACCAAGCAGCAGAGUGUGUACUGAGUCUGCGAAGAGCCGCGCCGCGCCGCUUGGCCCCUUGCGCGGGGUCCGUCGCCCUGCCUACCCCUCGGCGCUGCGUGUCACCGCCGUGCGCGACAGCCGCUCCGCGCGCCAGCAGAUGGCAUCAACUUGGUGAAAAUUACCGAGCGAGGCCUCAGCAGUUCCCUCGGUCUUCAAGGAGGAUAACGAUCCGUCGCCUUCCCCUCCGUUUUGCCGGCGAUGCGAUGGCCCGGUGA